This 564-nucleotide long non-coding RNA is filed under the name Triticum aestivum (bread wheat). Its description in RNAcentral is "long non-coding RNA (TAES_LNC009357)". The record is from RNAcentral. Lineage: Eukaryota; Viridiplantae; Streptophyta; Magnoliopsida; Poales; Poaceae.
AAAAUUAGCCGAGAGUGCAUGUGCCCUUUGUUUCUACAUCUUCAUGUAAUGUACGUUCCAUAUAGAUUUGUACACUAGACAUCACGAAAAUAAAUAUAUCUACUAUGUAUAUCCAUUGAAUCACCAAGCACGAGGUGUGUGCACUUGUGAUUGGAGUAGCCGAUCUACUAAUCCAUGCACGGUGAUCAUUAGGAGACACAUAGUGCGUUGCGUGAGGAUGUCGUCGGUCUGCCGCCGGUCAAGUCUUGUGUGAUGUUGUUGAGCAGCCGGCCGCCGGCCAUGAGUAGCAUGGCGUCGUCGAGUCGCCGGCCACCAAAUCUUCUCAUCCUCAUCGAGCGACUUGAGCCGUUUCUGGCCACGUGCUCUUGAACGCCUAGUUUAUACUGCGAUAGAACUGAUCAGAUUCAGAUCGAAAUCGUAGAAAUACAAGGAACAUAAAGGACGAAACAUUGAAUGCUGAGCCAUACCUGGUCUCGAUGAUGAGAUGUAGAAGGUGGACGAUGAUGUUGCCAUCAUCAUCUCUGCCAACGUCAGGUUAGUUGUGUAUCUUGAAUUCGUUGUUUU